Molecule: ribosomal RNA, 954 nt
Filed under: Escherichia coli
Lineage: Bacteria; Pseudomonadati; Pseudomonadota; Gammaproteobacteria; Enterobacterales; Enterobacteriaceae
Description: partial 23S ribosomal RNA
Rfam family: Bacterial large subunit ribosomal RNA
Source: RNAcentral
AAUGGGUCAGCGACUUAUAUUCUGUAGCAAGGUUAACCGAAUAGGGGAGCCGAAGGGAAACCGAGUCUUAACUGGGCGUUAAGUUGCAGGGUAUAGACCCGAAACCCGGUGAUCUAGCCAUGGGCAGGUUGAAGGUUGGGUAACACUAACUGGAGGACCGAACCGACUAAUGUUGAAAAAUUAGCGGAUGACUUGUGGCUGGGGGUGAAAGGCCAAUCAAACCGGGAGAUAGCUGGUUCUCCCCGAAAGCUAUUUAGGUAGCGCCUCGUGAAUUCAUCUCCGGGGGUAGAGCACUGUUUCGGCAAGGGGGUCAUCCCGACUUACCAACCCGAUGCAAACUGCGAAUACCGGAGAAUGUUAUCACGGGAGACACACGGCGGGUGCUAACGUCCGUCGUGAAGAGGGAAACAACCCAGACCGCCAGCUAAGGUCCCAAAGUCAUGGUUAAGUGGGAAACGAUGUGGGAAGGCCCAGACAGCCAGGAUGUUGGCUUAGAAGCAGCCAUCAUUUAAAGAAAGCGUAAUAGCUCACUGGUCGAGUCGGCCUGCGCGGAAGAUGUAACGGGGCUAAACCAUGCACCGAAGCUGCGGCAGCGACACUAUGUGUUGUUGGGUAGGGGAGCGUUCUGUAAGCCUGUGAAGGUGUACUGUGAGGUAUGCUGGAGGUAUCAGAAGUGCGAAUGCUGACAUAAGUAACGAUAAAGCGGGUGAAAAGCCCGCUCGCCGGAAGACCAAGGGUUCCUGUCCAACGUUAAUCGGGGCAGGGUGAGUCGACCCCUAAGGCGAGGCCGAAAGGCGUAGUCGAUGGGAAACAGGUUAAUAUUCCUGUACUUGGUGUUACUGCGAAGGGGGGACGGAGAAGGCUAUGUUGGCCGGGCGACGGUUGUCCCGGUUUAAGCGUGUAGGCUGAUUUUCCAGGCAAAUCCGGAAAAUCAAGGCUGAGGCGUGAUGACGA